Long non-coding RNA from Gossypium arboreum, 1688 nucleotides. RefSeq lists it as uncharacterized. Lineage: Eukaryota; Viridiplantae; Streptophyta; Magnoliopsida; Malvales; Malvaceae. The record is from RefSeq and is a predicted model, not a curated record. The transcript has 3 exons.
AGGCAAAACAAAACAAAUAGCAGCAACAUGAAAAGACAGAGCAAGCAAAAUAAAAUAAAUACAACUGAAAAAGCAGGUAAAACCACAAAACGCACCUAGAAACUACCAAUACCAUAAAAAAGAAGAAAAUCGCCUUAAGCCAACAAAACAACAGCACUCUACAAGCCAUAUAUCAGCCAAACAACUUUCUUCACCUUCUGAGAAAAAUUGAGACUGGUAAAAGAAGAAAAACGAAUGCUUUGAAUCCAGAAACUGGAGAUUCAGCGAACCUUCUCCACUUUCAAAGCAAAACAAAGAGAACCAUGAUGACUCUGGUUCCAAACCAGACAGUCCUUUAUCGCCAUCGUCUUCACAGAAUCAGGUACUCCAUCAACCCAGACCCCAAAAACCUGUCUUCUCCGUCCUUCUAACGCUAAAGUGUGAGCCGCUCCAUAACCGACUGGGGUAUAAACAGGGAAUCACCUUCCACGAUCAGAUGCCGGAAACCCAUCGCACACGCCAAAAGUAAUACCCUUUCGCAUGCCCUAGCUUCUGCCACAAAGGCAUCAACAACAUCCUCAAAAAGAUAAGUUUCCGCCCCCACAAUUUCUCCUUUCAAGUCUCUGGCUAAAACUGUUGUUGUAACGAGUCUAGUUUCACAUAGAAAAGUUACAUCAAAGUUUAACUUAAUAACACCAGCUUCUAGGGGUCUCCAAAGUUCUUUUACCAUAGAACUAAAAGACGAACUAAGGUUCACUUGAUUAAGUCUAAGAUCUUGAUCAUAUCCUCGAAUAAACCCCGAAAAUUAGUGUAAAGAGAAUUUUACACCUUCAUGUAACAGUUUAUUCCUUUGAAACCAUAGACCCCAUAUGGAAAUUGCAAUGAAUUGUUUUUGUUGUUCUUUUGCUGCAGAAAAGGUGUUAGCGAAACGAUUUUUGCAACACAUCAAAGCUCCGAAUGACAGAAUCGUAAUGUUUAAAGAUGCCCAUACACACUUUAGAAUACCACAAGACCACAUCAGAUGAUCAGCAUCCUCCGGAUCUUUUUUGCACAAGGGACAGACGAUUUCAACACUCAAAGUUCUACCCGCCAGAUUGCAAAAAUGAGAAAAAAAUCAUUAAACAGCCUUCAUAUGUGUAUUUUGAUUUUUGCUGGAAUAUGCAUAGCCCAUAAUGAUUUGUAAAAUUCAUUGUAGUCCUCAAUAUUAGGGAAGGUGACUACAGUAUUCUGUAGAUGCUUUGCAGAAAGAACCCGAUACCCACCUUUCACUGUAUAUUCCCUCGAGCCUUCAUAUUUCCAAACCAUCAUGUCUUCUGAUCCACCCCCGAAAAUAGGAAUGGAGAAAAUACGGGCUGCUGUAGCUGCAUCAACUAUAUUAAGAACCAGCUCCUUAUUCCAGGCAACCAAAAAUCAUUCCAUAUGUUGGUACGAGUGCUGUUACCAACACGCCACAAAAUCCCAUCCGUGAUUAACUCCCGAGCGCUGCAAAUGCUUCUCUAGGUAAAUGAAGGGUAAGAUCCAAUCUUUGCUGAAAGUAUAUCUGACAAAAGAUAAUAACGGGCUUUAACACUUUAGCUAAAAGACAAUUAGGCUGGAAUAAAAUAUGCCAAACCUGUUUUGUUUAUAAAGCCUUAUUAAACAAAAACAAAUCUUUAAAACACAUGCCACCAACACAUUUUGAUUUAUAUAAUAGCUCUCAUCUGCACCAA